AUCAGAUCUCUACAUCGGACAGUGAUCGGUUUGGGAUCGGCUUUGGGUUUGUGCGCACUUCUGAUUUUCUGUCUCACUUAUUUCAUACUGAGGAGAAGAAAAGGUGAUAAAAGUAAGUGUUUUUGUCAUCAGAUUAUAAAUACAUCAGUGAAGUUUUGAUAAAAUGACUAAAUAAGCAUUUUUCUAUAUUAAUAGUGAAGACUUCUAGAGAAGAUUCUUCAGGAACGAAGCAGAUUCAGGAAUCUGAAGCAACAACGGUGAUUUACGCAGAUGUACAGUUCAACAAGAUGAAAAGAAAAGCUGAAAAAAGAAAACCUGACUUAGCGGAGCAUUGUGUGUACUCUACUGUGAAAUAAAACUUUUUUCUGUA
Long non-coding RNA from Tachysurus fulvidraco (yellow catfish), 370 nucleotides. RefSeq lists it as uncharacterized. Lineage: Eukaryota; Metazoa; Chordata; Actinopteri; Siluriformes; Bagridae. The record is from RefSeq and is a predicted model, not a curated record. The transcript is spliced from 2 exons.